AACGUAGGCGGAUCAGAAAGUAUAGGGUGAAAUCCCAGGGCUCAACCCUGGAACUGCCUUAUAAACUCCUGGUCUUGAGUUCGAGAGAGGUGAGUGGAAUUCCAAGUGUAGAGGUGAAAUUCGUAGAUAUUUGGAGGAACACCAGUGGCGAAGGCGGCUCACUGGCUCGAUACUGACGCUGAGGUACGAAAGUGUGGGGAGCAAACAGGAUUAGAUACCCUGGUAGUCC
This 229-nucleotide ribosomal RNA is filed under the name uncultured bacterium. Its description in RNAcentral is "partial 16S ribosomal RNA". It matches the Rfam family "Bacterial small subunit ribosomal RNA", at positions 568 to 796 of the family's 1533-position model. The record is from RNAcentral.